RNAcentral lists this long non-coding RNA (1285 nucleotides) under Vulpes vulpes (red fox). RNAcentral describes it as "lncRNA (ENSVVUG00000021871.1)". Lineage: Eukaryota; Metazoa; Chordata; Mammalia; Carnivora; Canidae. The record is from RNAcentral.
GCGUCUUUUCCCAGAAUGCCAUACCACCUCCCAAACCAUGACUCAAUCACAGUAAACGGACGGAGGAUGUAUAAUAUGCAGUUACUUAGGCUUGUGUUGAAUUGUAUGCCUAAAAGCUCUAGGGGCAAGCAGUAGAAGGGGUGACUGCUGGAAUAUCAUUGACCAAAGAAACCAGGUUUUUUGUUUGUUUUUGUUUAUUUGUUUCUUAAAGAUUGUGUUUAUUUGAGAGAGAGACAGAGCAUGAGCCAGGGGAAGAGGCAGAGGAAAGGGAUAAGCAGACUCCCUGCUGGGCAUGGAGCCCUACUAGGGACCCUGAGAACUAGACCUGAGCUGAAAUCAGACACUUAACCGACUGAACCACCCAGGCACCCAGAAGAGCCAAAAGUUUUAAUGAGGGUUAUUAUUGGAACAUAGUUGUAUACUAUCAAUAUACCAACUGUUAAUGUUUUCUGAUAAUAGUGUUUAGAAAUACUUAGGAAAAACAUAUUUUGAUAACAAAUACGACAAAAAUUAAUCCUUUUAUGUAUAAAAAUGUAUUCAAUUCAAUGCAAAUACUCUAAGAAAUAAAUGAAAAAAAUACAAUUAAAAAAAUUGGAGGAGGUGGAACACAGACUUAAAUAACAAAGAAAUGCACAUAAAAAUAGUAAGAUAGUGUUUUUCUCCUUCAUAUUAACAAGGAAUAACAACUUUCAUAUUCUUUUGCAGUAAAAGUAUGAAAGAAACUCAGCAAGUAAAUGAAACAUGCCUAUAAUGCUUUUGGAAAACGAUUUAUAAUAAACAACAAAAUUUUUCAAUGCAUGAGAAGAGUUGCUAGACAAGUUUAUUUAAUCACUUAGAAUACGUCAUGUUAACUCAAGGAAGAAGCAAAGUGCCUGAAAAGCCAGGAUAAACUAUGUUAUGUAUUUGACUGUUUUGUUAAGUGACUUUAUCAGUUAAUCUCCAUGUCCAUGGCAGUAAGCAAAUCCUGUAUACGGAAAGAAUGUAUCUAUGAGAACGGAUCUUUUGUAAAUUUUUCAUAUUCUCAAGCUUCUUCCAAGACUCUAUUAAGAUAUUCUCACCUGCACACUUGAGAUGGUUAAAAUAAGUAUAACAGUCCUUGUGAGAUAAUGGUGGACCUAUCUGAGCAACAAUGGAGCCUUGUCCCAACCAGCAGGUGAAGGGAUUUUGAACCUUGUCAUCAGGUGCUUCCAAAAACGUGAUUAACUUUUGUAAUCACCUCUGGAAUUUAAAGAGUUAAGUGAGAAACAUUUAUUCAAUACCUAUCAGAAGUGUUUACUUUUUUCUU